Molecule: transfer RNA, 542 nt
Filed under: uncultured cyanobacterium
Lineage: Bacteria; Bacillati; Cyanobacteriota
Description: partial 16S-23S ribosomal RNA intergenic spacer
Rfam family: tRNA (bases 212-284)
Source: RNAcentral
CAGGGAGACAACAAAAUGUUAAAUAUUAAUUUUGUCACCUUAGGUCGAUCGGUAUCUCAGGUUCUUAAUUACUUUAAGAAUUUCAUUUCCUAAGUUUUUUCUAGGUCACACCCAUUACUUUUCCUGGGCCAUUAGCUCAGGUGGUUAGAGCGCACCCCUGAUAAGGGUGAGGUCCCUGGUUCAAGUCCAGGAUGGCCCAUAUCUCUAUGUUGGGGGUAUAGCUCAGUUGGUAGAGCGCCUGCUUUGCAAGCAGGAUGUCAGCGGUUCGAGUCCGCUUACCUCCACUGAUUACCACCUCUUCCAUAAAUUUAAAGAAGGGAAUAGUUAUGAGUGUUCAUUUAGAUCUGAACGAAUCUAGCUUCCUAAUUAAAUAAAUUAAGAUGCUGGACUCAUUGAAUUUUAUUCAUUGUUUUCAGAGAACCUUGACAACUGCAUAGAUUAUUUUUAAAGACAAUAAGCAUCUUUAAUGAUGCAGAUUUAUUAUUUGUGCUAAUGCAUUAAUAACAAUUCUAUUAAGCUGAUGCUUCAAUUUUGAAGUUAUU